This 1520-nucleotide ribosomal RNA is filed under the name Escherichia coli. RNAcentral's name for it is "partial 23S ribosomal RNA". It matches the Rfam family "Bacterial large subunit ribosomal RNA", at positions 1293 to 2798 of the family's 2925-position model. The record is from RNAcentral. Lineage: Bacteria; Pseudomonadati; Pseudomonadota; Gammaproteobacteria; Enterobacterales; Enterobacteriaceae.
AAUGCUGACAUAAGUAACGAUAAAGCGGGUGAAAAGCCCGCUCGCCGGAAGACCAAGGGUUCCUGUCCAACGUUAAUCGGGGCAGGGUGAGUCGACCCCUAAGGCGAGGCCGAAAGGCGUAGUCGAUGGGAAACAGGUUAAUAUUCCUGUACUUGGUGUUACUGCGAAGGGGGGACGGAGAAGGCUAUGUUGGCCGGGCGACGGUUGUCCCGGUUUAAGCGUGUAGGCUGGUUUUCCAGGCAAAUCCGGAAAAUCAAGGCUGAGGCGUGAUGACGAGGCACUACGGUGCUGAAGCAACAAAUGCCCUGCUUCCAGGAAAAGCCUCUAAGCAUCAGGUAACAUCAAAUCGUACCCCAAACCGACACAGGUGGUCAGGUAGAGAAUACCAAGGCGCUUGAGAGAACUCGGGUGAAGGAACUAGGCAAAAUGGUGCCGUAACUUCGGGAGAAGGCACGCUGAUAUGUAGGUGAAGUCCCUCGCGGAUGGAGCUGAAAUCAGUCGAAGAUACCAGCUGGCUGCAACUGUUUAUUAAAAACACAGCACUGUGCAAACACGAAAGUGGACGUAUACGGUGUGACGCCUGCCCGGUGCCGGAAGGUUAAUUGAUGGGGUUAGCGCAAGCGAAGCUCUUGAUCGAAGCCCCGGUAAACGGCGGCCGUAACUAUAACGGUCCUAAGGUAGCGAAAUUCCUUGUCGGGUAAGUUCCGACCUGCACGAAUGGCGUAAUGAUGGCCAGGCUGUCUCCACCCGAGACUCAGUGAAAUUGAACUCGCUGUGAAGAUGCAGUGUACCCGCGGCAAGACGGAAAGACCCCGUGAACCUUUACUAUAGCUUGACACUGAACAUUGAGCCUUGAUGUGUAGGAUAGGUGGGAGGCUUUGAAGUGUGGACGCCAGUCUGCAUGGAGCCGACCUUGAAAUACCACCCUUUAAUGUUUGAUGUUCUAACGUUGACCCGUAAUCCGGGUUGCGGACAGUGUCUGGUGGGUAGUUUGACUGGGGCGGUCUCCUCCUAAAGAGUAACGGAGGAGCACGAAGGUUGGCUAAUCCUGGUCGGACAUCAGGAGGUUAGUGCAAUGGCAUAAGCCAGCUUGACUGCGAGCGUGACGGCGCGAGCAGGUGCGAAAGCAGGUCAUAGUGAUCCGGUGGUUCUGAAUGGAAGGGCCAUCGCUCAACGGAUAAAAGGUACUCCGGGGAUAACAGGCUGAUACCGCCCAAGAGUUCAUAUCGACGGCGGUGUUUGGCACCUCGAUGUCGGCUCAUCACAUCCUGGGGCUGAAGUAGGUCCCAAGGGUAUGGCUGUUCGCCAUUUAAAGUGGUACGCGAGCUGGGUUUAGAACGUCGUGAGACAGUUCGGUCCCUAUCUGCCGUGGGCGCUGGAGAACUGAGGGGGGCUGCUCCUAGUACGAGAGGACCGGAGUGGACGCAUCACUGGUGUUCGGGUUGUCAUGCCAAUGGCACUGCCCGGUAGCUAAAUGCGGAAGAGAUAAGUGCUGAAAGCAUCUAAGCACGAAACUUGCC